RNA transcript from Cryptotermes secundus, 4427 nucleotides. It is a transcript of the gene named lysophospholipid acyltransferase 5, with no coding region annotated. NCBI's taxonomy places the organism in Eukaryota, Metazoa, Arthropoda, Insecta, Blattodea, Kalotermitidae. The record is from RefSeq and is a predicted model, not a curated record. The transcript has 11 exons.
UCGACCGCAGCGACGGUGAGUUGCAAACAUGGCUGGAGCCGGCAGGUCUGGUGGGUCGGUAUUAAGCCAAUUGGCAUAUUCUUUAGGAGCCCCUGAACCAGCACUUCGUUUAUUGGUGUCAAUUCUGUUAGGUUAUCCACUGGCUUUAAUACACAGAUACACUUUGUUUGGACAACUUCAAUAUCAACACCUCUUUUUUGUAGUGAGUGGUUUAAGUAUUGGAUACUUCAAUUAUGGUUGGGAGAUUUUACAUUCAGUCACAUCAGUGUUGGUUGUAUAUGGCAUCUUGAGAAUCAUUGGUGGCACAUUAAUCUCUGUCAUAUGUGUCUUUAUAUUCACAAUGGCCUAUCUUCUAGCUGGUUAUUAUAUGACUGGCACAGAAACAUAUGAUAUUAAAUGGAGUAUGCCACAGUGUGUCCUCACACUACGAUUAAUUGGCUUAGCAUUUGAUCUCUUUGAUGGGAAGAAGCUGGAUGAGGAACUGUCCCAAGAACAGAAGAAGACAGCGCUGUCCAAAAUACCAUCUUUGCUUGAGGUUGCUGGAUACACAUAUUUUCCAGCUAGUUUCCUGGUUGGCCCACAGUUUCCCAUGAAAAGAUAUCAAGACUUUGUUGCUGGAAUUUACAGACAUGGGACAGAGACUCUCCAGACUAAAGAGCUGCCAGAUUGUUUGGUGCCAGGACUGAAGCGUGGAGGUCUAGGUUUUGUGUACCUUGGCCUGUAUCAAAUUGGAACAUCAUUCUUUCCAGAUUGUUACUUAUUGGGUAAUGAGUUUCAGGAGCUACCAUUUUGGAAGCAGUGUUUAACACUUGGUAUCUGGGGCAAGAUCACAUUAUACAAGUAUAUUUCAUGCUGGCUUAUCUCAGAGGGUGUGUGCAUCAUAGCGGGUCUGACGUACAAUGGCAAAGACUCGUCAGGCAAACAUCAGUGGGAUGGUUGUGCCAAUGUUAAACUUCGAGUCUUCGAGGGAGCCUCCAAAUUUGGGCAUUACAUCGCUUCAUUCAACAUCAAUACCAACCACUGGGUGGCGCAGUAUAUAUACAAACGCCUGAAGUUCCUGGGAAAUCGCUAUAUAUCGCAGGCAGCAGCACUUAUAUUCCUUGCAGUUUGGCAUGGCCUGCAUUCCGGGUACUACAUGUGCUUCUUACUUGAGUUUGUUAUAAUGAAACUCGAGAAAGAUUUUGAGAAAAUGCUAGAACAAAGUGAGGUGAAAGAAUUUCUCAAUCACGUUGCACUCCGCCCCGUCACAUGGUUAUUGCUGAAGCUGUAUACGUUUGUGUUUAUGGGAUACUGUCUGGUUCCAUUUGUACUGCUAUCGUAUUCACGCUGGAAUCAUGUGUAUGCAUCUGUUUACUAUUUUGGUCAUUUUGUGUUCUUCCCUUGGCCAGUCUACUCACCGUUUGUGAGGAAACUGCUGAAGUUAUGGAAUCCAAGAAGAGCUCACCAAGAGUGAAAAUAUAUGGCAGCAUGAUCUCGAAGAGCAAGGAGUCGAAGACCAACAGUUUCCACCAAGAAGGACAGAACUUAGAGCCAAGGUGAAUUUGAAUUAGGACCAGUGCAUCAAGGUGAUACCUCAUCUGAUAUAAGACACAGUGUUUGCCUUUCAACGUAAUUUAGUCAUCAGUGAAUAGGAACCUGCAUUCAAGCACAGAACAAAUUAUUUUCAGAGCUUGUAAUCUUAUUCACCAGAUUGCAUGUGUGCCAAUAUAGUAUUCCAGUUUUAAUUUCUAAAAUUUAGCAUUGAAGGUGUGCAGUAUGCAUAAUGAUGAACUCUCAUUAAUAUGUGGAUUUUGGGUCUACACUGAUCAGUUUAUGGCUUUCUUCCAAAAGUAACAACCUUUGUUGUUAUGCAUAAAUGCACCUUAGAAGUUACUCUGUUAUGUGCUACUAGUGUACCUUUUUUUGUCCUUACCAAGUUAGUUUUUCUUCUUGUGAUUAACAAAAUUUAAUGAUACAUGUUUCUAUUUGACCAUGACAAGCAUGUUCAGCAUAAGUUAUGAAAAUAAGAAUUGUAGCAUUCUUGAAUGAAACAUUUGUUUUUUCCUCUGCUCCUUCAUUUAGUUUAUACUUUCUUUCAUAUUAUGUUAUGUGAGUGCUUACUGUAUAGUCGUUUUGUUUCAUACAAGACGUAAACAGAAUUGCAAAAGAGAACAGGAUGUCAGAAGUGGGUGCAUUUUGAAUACAAGUUUGUUCAGAUGCAACCAAUCUGUGGCACUGCUAGCAAAUACACACCAACAGUCAGCUAUGAGCUGUGUAACAGCACAAGUACAUUAAAGCAAAUGGGCAUAAUGUGAUACAUUUAAAUGAUGGCAUUCCAGGUAUAGAGUCUGCCCUAAUAGGACCAUUGAGUUAUUAUUUAGUUGCCUCAGUGAACCAAUAUCUUUUGAACAGCCCUCAUACGUAUAUUAUUCUUUAAAUCCAUUUUAAUAUAUGAUGGUUUUGUAUUAUGAAGAUAAAUGUUAUAUUAAAUAUUCAUUUCAUUUGUGGCUCCUGUCUGAACAUUUGUCUGAAACUUCCCUCAGCCUUCUUAGUAUUUGGAGAGAUAAAGAAUCGCUAUAGAAAGUUGUAGCCAUCUGUUUUGACUGGAACUCAGUUUUCCUCACAUAUUGCAGUGAGUACUAAAAGUACCGGCUGACAUUAAUAAAAAUGUAUUCAUAUUCAAGUCUUUACAUAUAACUGAACAGCUAAUCUAAUAUUUGCUCAGAUAUUGCAAAUGUAACUAAGAAGUUGGAAAAUGUAUAUAUAGUGUAACAAUUAUGACAAGUUUGCUGUAUCAUUUUCAAGUUUUUUUUUGGUUUUUUGCAUGCUAACUUUUCAUUCUCUCUUAUAAAUAGCAUAAAACAGGUGGGGACAGAGUUAAAAGGAUUGAUGGACAUGGACCCCUUUUGUUAUCUCAAAAACUGUAAACAUGUGUUGCCACAAGCAUCCAGAAUUCCAGGUGCUUUCCUUUACAAUACAGUUGUGUCUGUGGCAUUCAUGUAUUCUGUGUACUAUGCUCAGUUAUAGAAAUUGUGGCAAUGGGAAUAGAAGUUAAAGACCUACAUAUUAGGAAAGACGUUCUGUGCGUAUUUGUUUAUUUAUACAUAAUCCUGAAAGUCUCAUUUGUGGAUUUUUUUUCCAUUAUUUGCUUCCUGUGUUGACCAAUUAAUUUUGAAAAUCUGAAGAACUAUAUUACGCUCUUAGGCAUGAAGGAUAUAGUAAUGAUACUGAGAACAUAUGCAAAAUAGUACCUAGGAAUUAUAGUUAUGCAUGCAGUGAUCAUUAUGGAGAGAAUAUAUGUACCCAUCUGCAUAAACAUCACAUCACAAAACAUCCUGGUAUCCAGGAAUGUCUAAGCUCUCAUGGGUUCUCAUAGAAAAUAUGAUAUAUGAACAUUUUUUUCUGUGUGUCAUAAAGAUGGUGAGCAAAAGCUACCAUUAGCCUUUGCUAAGUUACUUUCAUCUGUCCUGACAUAAAAUCCAUUGAGCACUUCUAGUAGUUUGUAGCUCUCAGUGGUCUCGAUAAGUUUAAUUUGAUACUUCCUCUAUUCAGGUCAACAGCAGAGUUCAGGUUUCUAUUUUUAAACCAGAAAAAUAACUAUCUUUUGUGAUGUAGAAAUUCCAGUUUAAUUUCCUGUAGUUCCCACACCAUAAUGUUUUUUAGACUUUGUUUAUUAAACCUCCACCGUUUAUUUAUAUAGCAGUGUUUUUAUUAUGCAGAAAAAACAGGAAGAGAACACCUCAUGUUUAUGUUCCUUGAGAAAAAAUUAUUCUUUGUGCUUGAUUUCAAAGUAGGAUAUUUAGUAUAGCUGGAGUUCUUUGUGUAUAUAAUUGAAAUUACCAUAAUUUGGAGAAAGGAAUAUUAUUGUUUUGUCCCUUUUCAUUGAUAUAAACAAACAAAAAUCAUUACCGGUUCAGUCAUAGUGGCAUACAAUUCUCUUGUAUAAGUGGUCGUACUUGUUACAGAAAUAAGUGGUCAUACUUGUUACAGAACAUCUCAGGUCUCCACUUCUAGAUCAAACAUUUGAAACUGUAAAUGUGUUUGAUGUUCGAUUGCUGAAGCAUCAUAUUUUCAUAAAUUGCCAUGUCAGAACUGUUUAAUGUUUGUUUUCAUCCACAUGAAGCACUGAAUGAGCAAAUAGUGAGGCAACUCAUGUGUAUGAAGUAAAAUUAUAAUGUAGGGCAAAAGCCGUAGUCUGUACAUUGCAAAUGGUGGCUGAUAGUUUGUCCAAAGUGUUUGACUAGUUAUUCCAUUAAAAAAUAGCAUAUAGUAAAGGAAACAAACAUGUAUUUAAAAUAACUAUACAGUUAUAUAGUAGGCGGACAAGGUAAGUGCAGUUGUAAAAUUAAUAAUGUAUCCAUAUCACAGAAACAAAAUAAAGUAGCCAGUAUGUGAUAGAUAACUAUUGUAUAAUCUUAUAUUUAAGCAUCCUGUUGCACUCUACACGA